GGAGUGUGCUCAGAGCAGGAGGCCUGAAGAAUGGCUUCCCUGUUUACAACACACCCAACAGGAAGCCGGGGGUCAUUGGGACAAAGGGGACACAGCUGUGGCUUCCCUGUGCCCAGACGCCCUACACAC
This is a small nucleolar RNA of Fukomys damarensis (Damara mole-rat), 129 nucleotides long. Lineage: Eukaryota; Metazoa; Chordata; Mammalia; Rodentia; Bathyergidae. The record is from Ensembl.